CUCCUGGGCGUCACACAGACAGAUGGGCAGCAGCAAGAAGAUCAGAGAAAAGUUGGCCAUGCCGAGGAACAACUGCAAGAACAUUUGGACGGCGCUGUGCGAGGAGAUGCAAAUGUCGGAACAUUCCGAGCCCGAGUCGGCGAAAUUUUUUCCGUCUCUCCAAAACUUAGUCGAGUUCCAGAACUUAGUCUGCGGAAACAUCAACUGUCCAGCCUGGAAGAUGUUGUCGUCUUUAGACCAACAACAACAUGCUAACUUUAUACCAAUGUAACCUAUUUUUAUGGUUUUGCCUCUUUGUGAUGUUAAGUUCCUGUUAUACAGUAUAUGCCUUGAGCUCUUAUUUUGAAGGUGAAAAGAACGGAAAUGAUGUCAUGUUGGAGUGGAGCGGAGAUUUAAAAACAAACGAAAUAAAAUAGUCCUCGCUUUAAUUCCACAUAUUCCACAUCAACCAGAAGACUGCAGCCAGAUGAAAGAAGUCUGUGUACUUUCUGACAAGACGAAGCUUCGCCAUGGCUAACUGCGGCUAAAUGAGAUGAAGCUAGCUGACUCUCCGGACUUUACGGUUUGGGAAUUCACCAAAACGUCAGCGUGGAGUUACUGAGUCUGUUUAGCUGAUUGGAGAGCUAGCUUGUGCAGCCGUGACCAUGACUUCUGUUUUGUUCGAUCAUCCGUUUUACUGCCGUGUUACAGACACCGUUUGGAAACAUUUGAGUACCGGGAAGAACCGACAAGAGAACCGAAUCGUUAAGUGGAAUCAAAGUGUAAUGGGAACUGGGGACACUUGAUCAAUUCCCGUCCUUCGUAACAAGACUGCAUGGACAUGUUGUGACCUGCAUGUGAACUUAGUUACAGUAGUGCAACACUAGCAAGAUUUAGUUAGUGGCCCCGCCCUAAAGACCAUGUCCAGCCUCACAUUCAUCUCAACUCUACAUUGAAUUCACCGACAUGAAGAGCAUUAUUAAAAAAAACACAGAUCAUUUCUGCAAAGCAACAGACUGAGUGCACACACAACCCACCGUGUCUCCAGGUUUGACAUGAGAACAGCGCUUCAGGUCCGUGGAGACGCUCCCGUUGGGACAGAUGGCCGUGAAGGACAUGCGCAGCUCUUCCGUGUCUCCAAUCACCUCCAGUUCGAUCUCCGAUCGCAGUUCCUGGAAAUCAUCGGGGUUUUUUUGGUCAAAAUAUUCUGUCUGUGCUAGGAUUGUCUCCAUGCCAAUAUUUUGGUACAGGUACCAAAAUGUAUCUUAAUACUUUUCGAUACUUUUCUAAAUAAAGGGGACAUGUAUGCCAGCUAGUGUUGUCCCCAUACCAAUAUUCUGGUACCGGUACCAAAAUGAUUUUGAUACUUUUUCGAUACUUUUCUACAUAAAGGGGACCACAAAAAAAAUGCAUUAUUGUUUUUAUUUGAACAAAAACUCUUAGGGUACAUGAAACAUAUGUUUAUUGUUUUAAUGUAGUCCUUAAAGGGGAACAUUAUCACAAUUUCAAAAGGGUUAAAAACAAUAAAAAUCAGUUCUCAGUGGCUUGUUGUAUUUUUUGAAGUUUUUUUUCAAAAUUUUACCGGUUUCGGAAUAUCCCUAAAUAAAGCUUUAAAGUGCCUUAUUUUCGCUCUCUGCGAAGACACUGGCCAUUUCCCUGUGACGUCACACAGUGCUGCCAAUGUAAACAAACAAUGACAAUACCACAGCAAGAUAUAGCGACAUUAGCUCGGAUUCAAACUCGGAUUUCAGCGACUUAAGCGAUUCAACAGAUUACGCAUGUAUUGAAACAGAUGGUUGGAGUAUGAAAAUAUUGAAGAAGAAACUGAAGCUAUUGAGCGAAUAGCUAUUGACGCUAUUCAUAGCCGU
This is a long non-coding RNA of Nerophis ophidion (straightnose pipefish), 1847 nucleotides long. RefSeq lists it as uncharacterized. Lineage: Eukaryota; Metazoa; Chordata; Actinopteri; Syngnathiformes; Syngnathidae. The transcript is spliced from 3 exons. The record is from RefSeq and is a predicted model, not a curated record.